CCUACGGGAGGCAGCAGUGAGGAAUUUUGGACAAUGGACGCAAGCCUGAUCCAGCUAUUCCGCGUGUAGGAUGACGGCCUUCGGGUUGUAAACCACUUUUGUAGAGAACGAAAAGUCUGUUAAGAAUACCGAUAGAUGAUUACGGUACUCUAAGGAUCAGCACCGGCUAACUACGUGCCAGCCGCCGCGGUAAUACGUAGGAUGCGAUCGUUAAUCGGACUUACUGGGCGUAAAGGGUGUGCGGGCGGUUUGGCAAGAUGGAUGUGAAAGCCCCGGGCUUAACCUGGGAAAGCCAUACAUGACUGUAAGACUAGAGGGCGGCAGAGGGGGGCGGAAUGUCAAGUGUAGCAGUGAAAUGCGUAGAUAUUUGGAAGAACACCGAUGGCGAAGGCAGCCUCCUGGGACGCAACUGACGCUCAGACACGAAAGCGUGGGGAGCAAACAGGAUUAGAUACCCCAGUAGUC
This 465-nucleotide ribosomal RNA is filed under the name uncultured bacterium. RNAcentral's name for it is "partial 16S ribosomal RNA". It matches the Rfam family "Bacterial small subunit ribosomal RNA", at positions 338 to 795 of the family's 1533-position model. The record is from RNAcentral.